Molecule: ribosomal RNA, 494 nt
Filed under: uncultured bacterium
Lineage: Bacteria
Description: partial 16S ribosomal RNA
Rfam family: Bacterial small subunit ribosomal RNA
Source: RNAcentral
GACGAACGCUGGCGGCGUGCUUAACACAUGCGAGUCGAACGGUGAAGCGCCUUCCUUUUUGGUGGGUGUGGAUGAGUGGCGAACGGGUGAGUAACACGUGAGUCACCUGCCCCCUUCUUCUGGAUAACCGCAUGAAAGUGUGGCUAAUACGGGAUAUUCUGGGUCUGUUGCAUGAUGGGUCUGGGACAGAUAUUGUUUCGGUGGGGGAUGGGCUCGCGGCCUAUCAGCUUGUUGGUGGGGUGAUGGCCUACCAAGGCGGUGACGGGUAGCCGGCCUGAGAGGGUCGACCGUCACACAGGGGCUGAGACACGGCCAAGACUCCUAGGGGAGGCAGCAGGGGGGAAUAUUGCACAAUGGGCGGAAGGCUGAUGCAGCGACGCCGCGUGAGGGAUGGAGGCCUGCGGGUUGUGAACCUCUUUCGCCAGUGAAGCAGGCCUGCCUCGUUUGUGGGUGGGUUGACGGUAGCUGGAUAAGAAGCGCCGGCUAACUACGUG